UUUAUUUCAUGAUUUGAGCUUUGUCGCCGGUACUGAUGAUCUCUGGCGCGGCGGAGUGGGAAAGUUUAAAUUUUGUUUUGUUUUGAGUUUGCUUCAAGAAAGGGAAGAGAGUUUUCUGAAUGAUUUGUUUUGGUUUGGGCCCUUAACACUUGGGCCUAACUGUUUUCUUCUUUUCAUCACCCCACCUUGAUGUCUGCACCCCAUUUUUUGUUUCAUUUUUU
RNAcentral lists this long non-coding RNA (221 nucleotides) under Lathyrus oleraceus (garden pea). RNAcentral describes it as "Pisum sativum (pea) long non-coding RNA (PSAT_LNC037655)". Lineage: Eukaryota; Viridiplantae; Streptophyta; Magnoliopsida; Fabales; Fabaceae. The record is from RNAcentral.